GACCAAGGAGUCUGACCCGCGCGCGAGUCGCAGGGUCUUGUACAGGCCCCGUGGCGUAGCGAAAGCGAAGCCGAGACGCCCUCCUUAGAGGUGGGCAGCAUCGGCGGCCCGGCGGUUCGGACGGCAGGCCCGGUGAAACGCCGAAAAGCGGACAGCCGGGAUCCCACCGUCUCGCGUCGGAGUCGGAGCGCACGAGUCGGUACCCGAAAGAUGGUGAACUAUGCCUGGCCAGGGCGAAGCCGGAGGAAACUCCGGUGGAGGCCCGAAGCGGUUCUGACGUGCAAAUCGAUCGUCGGAGCGGAGUAUAGGGGCGAAAGACUAAUCGAACCAUCUAGUAGCUGGUUCCCUCCGAAGUUUCCCUCAGGAUAGCUGGCAUUCGUUGUGGAAUCAGUCUCUCCUCGUAGAGAGAAUGAAUAGAGGCCCUGGGGCCCUAGACGACCUCAACCUAUUAUCAAACUACUACGAGGUGCGUCGUCCGUUCCUGCCGAACAGAGGAACGGUUGGAAUCGGAGAUGUAGGAGUGCCGUGUGGGCCAUUUUUG
This is a ribosomal RNA of 541 nucleotides. It matches the Rfam family "Eukaryotic large subunit ribosomal RNA", at positions 664 to 1139 of the family's 3401-position model.